ACCUGUGGGCUGUGAUGUGAAGCAUGGACUUUGUUAAUAGCGGUCCAUGUCCGGUUUACUGUUCGGUUUGCGGUAAAUUGUUAUCGAAACUGUAAAAGACUCGGGGUCAUUUAUUUAACACCAGAAGAUACAGGGAUAAACCUAUGAACAUUGUGAUCGAAUCCUGUAAAUAUUUUAAACACGACCGUUGUGGGAAACGAUUGUAUAACGCGGAUACCUAUCCCGACAAUCGCCGAAAAAAACCCGACAUUACCGUAUAUACAUUUUGACGAAAUGAUCGCU
Cinara cedri is the source of this 282-nucleotide non-coding RNA. NCBI's taxonomy places the organism in Eukaryota, Metazoa, Arthropoda, Insecta, Hemiptera, Aphididae. The record is from the annotation of a GenBank genome assembly.